UGCCCGCGGUAGCCUUCCUGAGCCGUGAUCUUUGUCUCGGGAAUGAUCGUCGCCCCUGCAGCAGCAAUUGGCUGGUCGAGCAGGCACUGAGUCAUGGCAGCGGCGCACACCGCUACUGCCGUGACCAGGCGCUCCCAUUAUUUGGGCGCACAUGUGUGACAAAAGGCAUACAAGUCAGAAACCAUGAAGAAUUGUGGAAUCUUUCCAUCCGUAUUAGGAAAAACUUGGAUAUUUUAAUGGCACUGAUGGUCCGUCAACCGAACGGUAGAGCAAACAGCAGCACGCCUCCUACGCACCCUUAGCGGGUACGUUACUCAAAGUUUGCCAGCACUGGCAUGAUGUCGUUUAGCCAUGCCACAGACUCAGGCCUCGAAUACCACGUUUUGUUCUCCGGCAGCAUUGUGCCCGACUUGAUCAUUGACGCCCGGAUAUAAUGUAAGCAUAUAGUGAAAACUAAACUUCUGUGCAAAAUCGU
Molecule: long non-coding RNA, 475 nt
Organism: Dermacentor albipictus
Lineage: Eukaryota; Metazoa; Arthropoda; Arachnida; Ixodida; Ixodidae
Source: RefSeq, a predicted model, not a curated record